RNAcentral lists this ribosomal RNA (273 nucleotides) under uncultured bacterium. Its description in RNAcentral is "partial 16S ribosomal RNA". It matches the Rfam family "Bacterial small subunit ribosomal RNA", at positions 657 to 929 of the family's 1533-position model. The record is from RNAcentral.
GGGUGUAGAAUUCCAGGUGUAGCGGUGAAAUGCGUAGAGAUCUGGAGGAAUACCGAUGGCGAAGGCAGCACCCUGGCAUAAUACUGACACUGAGGUUCGAAAGCGUGGGUAGCAAACAGGAUUAGAUACCCUGGUAGUCCACGCCGUAAACGAUGUCUACUAGCCGUUGGGGUCCAUGAGACUUUAGUGGCGCAGUUAACGCGAUAAGUAGACCGCCUGGGGAGUACGGCCGCAAGGUUAAAACUCAAAUGAAUUGACGGGGGCCCGCACAAG